RNAcentral lists this long non-coding RNA (541 nucleotides) under Vitis vinifera (wine grape). RNAcentral describes it as "long non-coding RNA (VVIN_LNC003146)". Lineage: Eukaryota; Viridiplantae; Streptophyta; Magnoliopsida; Vitales; Vitaceae. The record is from RNAcentral.
CUAGGCCUCCGUCGAAGCAGGAGAAGCUCUUGCAGGAGUACUUGGUCCACAGCACGGCGGAGUCAGGGAGGGGAGAGAACGGAUCGGCGGGAAGAGAGGAGGGGAGCUUGGAGGGAGUUCGGGCAAAGCAACGGCGGCGGGGGAGGGGGUGGCAGCCGCGGAGGAUGAGAGAUUCGGCGAGUUGGGAAUCAUCAGGGCAAAGAGAAAAGGGAGUGUAGGUCAUGUAGGUGUGCAGGAGGUCGGGAUGGUCGCGGCAGGAGGAGGCCAUGGGGGAGAGGUGGGUGUAGAGGAGGAGAUCAGAGGGAGUGGCGGAGGAGGCGGAGGAGGAGGAGGUGGAGCGGAGGCGAGUAAGGUGGGUGAGGGUGGCGCGUAUGGUGUUGAGCUGGUGGCGGAGGUGGUCGGGAACAGGUGCGGGAGGCGGCGUAGGCUUGGAUUGAAUAGUAGAAGACAGGUGGUAAAGGGAGAGGAUGUUUGUGGCCACCAUGGCCACUAGAAGCAGCAGGUUCAGUCCCAUGGUCAAACCCAUUUCUCUCCUUCCCUC